ACGGAAGGCAGCAGUGAGGAAUAUUGGUCAAUGGGCGUAAGCCUGAACCAGCCAAGUAGCGUGAGGGAUGACGGCCCUAUGGGUUGUAAACCUCUUUUGUGAGGGAAUAAAGUGUGCCACGUGUGGUCCAUUGCAUGUACCUUACGAAUAAGGAUCGGCUAACUCCGUGCCAGCAGCCGCGGUAAUACGGAGGAUCCGAGCGUUAUCCGGAUUUAUUGGGUUUAAAGGGAGCGUAGGCGGGAGGUCAAGUCAGCUGUGAAAUGUAGUCGCUCAACGUCUGCACUGCAGUUGAAACUGGUCUUCUUGAGUGCGUAAGAGGCAGGUGGAAUUCGUCGUGUAGCGGUGAAAUGCUUAGAUAUGACGAAGAACUCCGAUUGCGAAGGCAGCUUGCUGGGCCGCAACUGACGCUGAAGCUCGAAGGUGCGGGUAUCAAACAGGAUUAGAUACCCUGGUA
Molecule: ribosomal RNA, 454 nt
Filed under: uncultured Bacteroides sp.
Lineage: Bacteria; Pseudomonadati; Bacteroidota; Bacteroidia; Bacteroidales; Bacteroidaceae
Description: partial 16S ribosomal RNA
Rfam family: Bacterial small subunit ribosomal RNA
Source: RNAcentral